GAGACUGCCGGUGUCGAAACCGGAGGAAGGUGGGGAUGACGUCAAGUCCUCAUGGCCUUUAUGACCAGGGCUACACACGUACUACAAUGGCCGGUACAAAGGGCAGCCACUUAGCGAUAAGGAGCCAAUCCCGUAAAGCCGGUCUCAGUCCGGAUUGGAGUCUGCAACUCGACUCCAUGAAGUUGGAAUCGCUAGUAAUCGCAGAUCAGCACGCUGCGGUGAAUACGUUCCCGGGCCUU
This 239-nucleotide ribosomal RNA is filed under the name uncultured Desulfocapsa sp. RNAcentral describes it as "partial 16S ribosomal RNA". It matches the Rfam family "Bacterial small subunit ribosomal RNA", at positions 1145 to 1382 of the family's 1533-position model. Lineage: Bacteria; Pseudomonadati; Thermodesulfobacteriota; Desulfobulbia; Desulfobulbales; Desulfocapsaceae. The record is from RNAcentral.